GAUGAACGCUGGCGGCGUGCCUAAUACAUGCAAGUCGAGCGAACAGACGAGGAGCUUGCUCCUCGGACGUUAGCGGCGGACGGGUGAGUAACACGUGGAUAACCUACCUAUAAGACGGGGAUAACUUCGGGAAACCGGAGCUAAUACCGGAGAAUAUCUUGAACCGCAGGGGUCAAUGGUGAAAUACGGCUUUGGUGGCACUUAUAGAUGGAUCCGGGCCGCAUUGGGUGGUUGGUAAGGUAAAGGGUUACCAAGGGGGGGAUGCGUGACCGACCUGAGGGGGGGGUCGCCCACCCGGGAACGGGGACGCGCUCCAGGCUCCUACGGGAGGCAGCAGUAGGGUAUGUUCCGCAAUGGGCGAAAGCCUGACGGAGCGACGGCGCGUGAGAGGUGAAGGUCUUCCGAUCGUAAUACUGUGUUAUUAGUGAAGAACAGCUUUGUAAGGAACUAUGCCCGGCUUGACGGUACCUGAUCAGAAAGCCACGGCUAACUACGUG
This 497-nucleotide ribosomal RNA is filed under the name uncultured bacterium. RNAcentral describes it as "partial 16S ribosomal RNA". It matches the Rfam family "Bacterial small subunit ribosomal RNA", at positions 28 to 507 of the family's 1533-position model. The record is from RNAcentral.